This is a long non-coding RNA of Talpa occidentalis (Iberian mole), 255 nucleotides long. RefSeq lists it as uncharacterized. The transcript has 3 exons. The record is from RefSeq and is a predicted model, not a curated record. Lineage: Eukaryota; Metazoa; Chordata; Mammalia; Eulipotyphla; Talpidae.
CCUCUGGGCGCGGGGGGGAAGCCAGUAGAUGGCGUCGCGGGGCCCUGGCGGCCACGCCAACUUCACUUUACUAGGGUGCAAGAAUCAUUCUUCUGUUGGAUGAUGCAUCAUCACUCCAUCAGAAUUCUAACUUCUACAGAAUUUUCUACCACAAGUCAACUUGCCUGCAGCAGCCUUAUACAGAGUAGCCAGAAGCCAAGAACCUUGCCUUAGAAGAUACAGCUACUGGGGCUUCCCCGGUGGUGCAGUGGGUUG